Molecule: unclassified non-coding RNA, 263 nt
Filed under: fungal sp.
Lineage: Eukaryota; Fungi
Description: partial internal transcribed spacer region
Rfam family: Eukaryotic small subunit ribosomal RNA (bases 1-46)
Source: RNAcentral
AAAUCGUAACAAAGUUUCCGUAGGUGAACCUGCGGAAGGAUCAUUACCGAAUCGGCACUCUGUGUCGAACACCGAUCGAGCGAGCGCAGCUUGGUUCACGUCGUGCGAAGGAGCACCCUUCCAGGCGCUCCAGCGCCGUUCCCCGCUUCGGCGGGAACUCGUCCACUUGUGGUGAAAGAACGGACCCGGUGCUUGCACCAACAACCUGUACCUGAAAAGGAACUCAAAUGCAGUACAACUGCAAACGGUUGAUCACUCGGCUC